UGAUAAAAACAUAGCACAAGUACUAGAUUUUAACCCUCACUAUACCGCGGGACGAUUUAUUUUUUAAAGAUAAUAUAUAUUAAAAUUUGUAAAUUUUAUUUUUAUAAAAUAUUUAUAUUUUAUAGUUUAUAAUUGUUAUUAAGUAACGUUAUACGACGAAUACAUGAGACAAUUGUUAAAAAACUGAAGUUUUAAUCCUUAUUAAAACAACAUAUUA
This 217-nucleotide small RNA is filed under the name Arabidopsis thaliana (thale cress). Its description in RNAcentral is "ATSL283870". Lineage: Eukaryota; Viridiplantae; Streptophyta; Magnoliopsida; Brassicales; Brassicaceae. The record is from RNAcentral.